This 803-nucleotide ribosomal RNA is filed under the name uncultured bacterium. Its description in RNAcentral is "bacterial SSU rRNA". It matches the Rfam family "Bacterial small subunit ribosomal RNA", at positions 1 to 799 of the family's 1533-position model. The record is from RNAcentral.
UAGAGUUUGAUCCUGGCUCAGAUUGAACGCUGGCGGCAGGCCUAACACAUGCAAGUCGAGCGGUAACACAGAGGAGCUUGCUCCUUGGGUGACGAGCGGCGGACGGGUGAGUAAUGCCUGGGGAUCUGCCCGAUAGAGGGGGAUAACUACGGGAAACUGUAGCUAAUACCGCAUAACGUCUACGGACCAAAGUGGGGGCUCUUCGGACCUCAUGCUAUCGGAUGAACCCAGGUGGGAUUAGCUAGUUGGUGAGGUAAUGGCUCACCAAGGCGACGAUCUCUAACUGGUUUGAGAGAAUGACCAGUCACACUGGAACUGAGACACGGUCCAGACUCCUACGGGAGGCAGCAGUGGGGAAUAUUGCACAAUGGGCGCAAGCCUGAUGCAGCCAUGCCGCGUGUGUGAAGAAGGCCUUCGGGUAGUAAAGCACUUUCAGCGGGGAGGAAGGGUCACUAGUUAAUACCUAGUGGCAUUGACGUUACUCGCAGAAGAAGCACCGGCUAACUCCGUGCCAGCAGCCGCGGUAAUACGGAGGGUGCAAGCGUUAAUCGGAAUUACUGGGCGUAAAGCGCACGCAGGCGGUUUGUUAAGUCAGAUGUGAAAUCCCCGAGCUCAACUUGGGAACUGCAUUUGAAACUGGCAAGCUAGAGUCUUGUAGAGGGGGGUAGAAUUCCAGGUGUAGCGGUGAAAUGCGUAGAGAUCUGGAGGAAUACCGGUGGCGAAGGCGGCCCCCUGGACAAAGACUGACGCUCAGGUGCGAAAGCGUGGGGAGCAAACAGGACUCGAUACCCUGGUAGUCCACG